Molecule: long non-coding RNA, 890 nt
Organism: Hydra vulgaris (swiftwater hydra)
Lineage: Eukaryota; Metazoa; Cnidaria; Hydrozoa; Anthoathecata; Hydridae
Source: RefSeq, a predicted model, not a curated record
GCUCUGUCAUAGAUCUUCAACUAUUCUCCAUUAAGGACUCAUUCGAAAUGUUAUCUGAUUUGCACAUAAAUAAAGCACAAAAGCUUUUAUCCAUGCAGUUUCCAGAUUACAAGGGUUACAAGACCCUAUUCUUGGAUCAAAACUUCAUUUUAGAGUGCAAUCUGGAAAGUUUGUUCAAAUUUUACAUAAUGGUGCAAUGCAUUGGCUUACCAUUUCAAAUUUUUAAGUACCCAUCUUAACUCAGUUGAUGUUUUUGGAUUCCUUAUAUUAUGAUUUAAUUGUUAGUGGAAAGUUGCAAGUAGGACCAAUCAUUAUGGUUAAAGAAUCUUUUUUGAAAUUACAGUUUAAAGAUUUCCAAAAACAAUCUGGUGGGCUUGGUUGUGGUCUUUUUGCAAUUGCAGCGGCAACAAAUUUACAAUCAUGAUCCAAGCAUAAAAUGUUAUAAGCAAGAACUUAUGCGGGAUCAUUUGUUAAAAUGCUUCAGUGACGGUUACUUAACGCCAUUCCCCAUAGAGACUAAUAAACGAAAAAAGAAAAAGCAAUCUAAACCAAUUAAUUUACCAUUAUAUUGCAUAUGUCGUCUUCGUGAUAAUAAAGAAGAAAAAAUGGUUAAAUGCGACUAUUGCAAGGAGUGGUUUCACGCUUCAUGCCUUUCCAAUCCAAAGAAUAUAUUAGAGAAUUCUGACAACUCUUUACAUUGGCAUUGUAAUUCAUGCAGCUAAUUAAGUAUGUCGAGAUAUCAAAGCUAAUAAAGUCAGUACCAUGGUAUUAUGUAAGUUUUACCAAGUUUCUCUUCCGUUUCAAGUUGGUGAAUAUAGUCUUAUCCGAGGCGAUGAUGAAAAUGAUAUUUUAAAAAAGUUUUGCCAAACAGAAUAUAAUUAUUACACAUU